CCUACGGGUGGCAGCAGUGGGGAAUAUUGCGCCAUGGGCGAAAGCCUGACGCCGCGCCGCCGCGUGAGGGAUGAAGGUCUUCGGAUCGUAAACCUCUGUCAGCAGGGAAGAACGGUCCCUGUGCUACUCAGCCUUGACUUGACGGUACCUGCAAAGGCAGCACCGUCUAACUCCGUGCCAGCAGCCGCGGUAAUACGGAGGGUGCGAGCGUUAAUCGGAAUUACUGGGCGUAAAGCGCUCGUAGGCGGUAUGUCAAGUCAAGGGUGAAAUCCCCGCGCUCAACGUGGGAACUGCCUUUGAAACUGGCAAACUGGAGUGUGUGAGAGGAUAGUGGAAGUCCAGGUGUAGGAGUGAAAUCCGUAGAUAUCUGGAGGAACAUCAGUGGCGAAGGCGACUAGCUGGAACAUAACUGACGCUGAGGAGCGAAAGCGUGGGUAGCAAACAGGAUUAGAUACCCUUGUAGGC
This 465-nucleotide ribosomal RNA is filed under the name uncultured bacterium. RNAcentral's name for it is "partial 16S ribosomal RNA". It matches the Rfam family "Bacterial small subunit ribosomal RNA", at positions 338 to 795 of the family's 1533-position model. The record is from RNAcentral.